Molecule: microRNA precursor, 103 nt
Filed under: Marmota monax (woodchuck)
Lineage: Eukaryota; Metazoa; Chordata; Mammalia; Rodentia; Sciuridae
Source: RNAcentral
GGUGAAAAUGCCAGGUCAUAUGGUGAAUAAGUGUCUAACUUUGUAAGAAAUGACCAAAUUGUUUUCCUGAAUAGCUGUAUCAUUUUAUAUUCCCAUCAGCAAU